RNAcentral lists this unclassified non-coding RNA (284 nucleotides) under plant metagenome. RNAcentral's name for it is "partial contains small subunit ribosomal RNA, internal transcribed spacer 1, and 5.8S ribosomal RNA". The stretch from base 1 to 54 matches the Rfam family "Eukaryotic small subunit ribosomal RNA", at positions 1778 to 1831 of the family's 1831-position model. The record is from RNAcentral.
GGAGGUAAAAGUCGUAACAAGGUUUCCGUAGGUGAACCUGCGGAAGGAUCAUUAUUGUAUAACCGAGGUGCGAGGGCUGUCGCUGACCCGAAAGGUCGUGCACGCCCGAGUGCCCUCACACACAUCCAUCUCACCCCUAUGUGCACCACCGCGUGGUCCCCCUUUGGCUUGUUCGGAGGGGGGCUUACGUUUUCACACAAACUUUGUAUGCAGUGUAGAAUGUAUUUUUUGUUUUUGCGAUCACGCAAUCAAUACAACUUUCAACAACGGAUCUCUUGGCUCUC